Molecule: non-coding RNA, 23 nt
Filed under: Cricetulus griseus (Chinese hamster)
Lineage: Eukaryota; Metazoa; Chordata; Mammalia; Rodentia; Cricetidae
Source: RNAcentral
UGGACAUUAAAAACGAAGACGAU